UCGCGCCAUCGCACUCCAGCCUGGGCUACAGAGUGAGACUCCGUCUCAAAAAAAAGAAAGAAAAAAAAAAGUCUUGUGAAUUUGUACAUAGAAUAUUGAAGUUAGAAGAGGCUUAUCACUCUCUGGGCUCUAAUACUGCCCAGAGGUUAUUUGUUUCUUGUUUCCAUAAGAAAAUCCUAUGUCUCUCCAUUAGCAUUCCUGAUCCUUACCUCCAAUUCAAAAUGUGGCCAGUUCCACCUUCUAAGCCUUUAUACCAAAUUGACUGGGUAGGUUUAUUAUGAAUCUGUGUUCUUGUCCAAACUCUACAUUAGACCUCGCAGGAGAGUUCAAACUAAAAACUAAUGAGUAAGUGCAAUAUUACAAUUGAAACGGGAGCAAACAUAAUUUCAAGUAGGACACAUAAAAACUGUGGGACCAAAAGAGGAAGAGUGCACGCCAAAUGUUCUCAAUUCUGAAAUGGCUCUUGUGAAAUAUCUAUGUGAAAACACUUCAAGGACCUGAAAAAAAAAUGGUGAAAAAGCGAACAACCUUCCUUGCAAAACAACUCCAGAGUUAAUGCCAGAGCUUUCUAUCAAAACAUCCAUGUUAAGUUCGCCGGAAAGAUUCAGAAGAUCAAUGACAGGAGUAAGGGAAAAAACAAGGACAUUUUGUGAGUAGGAACGUAUAAUGACCCUGCAACAGGAGAACGAGAGAGGGGGAAGAAGGAAAUGGAGGGUGUAAGUAAAUUAAUUGACUGUAACAUGUUUAAUGAAAUAAGUAGACGUGUGAUGCAAAUUUCUUAAUAGUCAAACAUUAUGCAACAUAUGAUGCAUAAGAAUUGUACUAUCUCAAAUUUUUUUUAACGUGAGAUUCUCUUGAUGCCACUUUCAUUUACCUACACACACACAAAUGGCACAAAUCACAUAUACAUAUACUGACACGAAAAUAUAUAUGUGGGAGGGAGAGAAAGAGGGAGGAUAACUUUAAUCAUGAUACACUGCCAAUAUAAGAACUCCCUUUUGGCCGGGCGUGAUGGCUCACACCUGUAAUCCCAGCACGUUGGGAGUACAGGCGUGAACCACCGCGCCCGGCCGGAUUUUAGACAAUUCUACAUCGUCUGUUGAAUCUAUCGUCUGUUGAAUCAGCUUUCUAUUAACCACACACUAUAGAAGUGAAACCAACCUGUACUACCAAGAGUGUAUUAAUUUUGCAUGCAUUUCCUAGUAAACAAUGUAGACAGUAUUAAUUUUUAUGUUGCCAAGGUAAUAGUUUUGUCCCUCAACUCAUAUGCUAAAUUUUGCCUCACCUGGCUCAGUCAGAAGGAACAGAAUUGACAAUAUUAACUAGUCUCAGUUAUCUCCACUGACAGAAAAAAAAACGUGUUAUUUUCUACACUGACUGUGGGAAUCAGCAUUUUCUGUUAUUAACUUAGAUUUUUUUUCUUGCCAUUUCUCUUUAUGAUCCCAAUGUAUUGAUGUAUUUCUAACACUACAACAAGAUUUGUGUCACUCAACUGUGUGUUGUAAUCAUUGUCUUUUAACCAUUUAUAUCCAUGAAACUGAUGUCAUUGACAGAUAGAAAACAGAAACAAAAAGCAUAGAAGGGAGAGAGGGAGGAAGACUUUAGUCAUGAUACAAUACCAAUGUAAGGACUCCUUUUAAGAAAGAUUUAAAAAAAUUUCUUCAUCAAAAUUUCCAUUGCCUCCUUGAAUGAACUGUGAAGGAUUGCAAAUUCCUUUAAAACUUGGUUUUGGCAACGAAUCUGGAUUUCCUUCAUUAACCAGGUAUACAGAAUUCAUUUUCCAAUGCUCUAUUAAAAAUAAGAGGCUGGGCACGGUGGCUCACGCCUGUAAUCCCAGCACUUU
RNAcentral lists this long non-coding RNA (1843 nucleotides) under Homo sapiens (human). RNAcentral describes it as "HSALNT0380401". Lineage: Eukaryota; Metazoa; Chordata; Mammalia; Primates; Hominidae. The record is from RNAcentral.